Molecule: non-coding RNA, 778 nt
Filed under: Ochterus marginatus
Lineage: Eukaryota; Metazoa; Arthropoda; Insecta; Hemiptera; Ochteridae
Source: RNAcentral
UUUUUAUUUAAGGUAAAGUUUGAUUCUUGCUUUUCUUUUUAUUUUUUUUUGUUUUUACAUGUAAGUUUUUGCGUGGUGAGGUAUUAUUUUUAUAUGAUUUAUAUUUAGAUAAUUUGCAGUAUUUAAUUUUGUUUAUGAAGGUUAUUUUGAUUUAGAUAAAAAAAUUUAGUUUUGACUAAUAUUGUGCCAGCAGUUGCGGUUAUACAAUAGGGGCAAGUAAAUUUUAUUGGAUUAUAUUAUUUAUUUUUUUUGUGUUUAUUUUGUAUUUUUUUAGGUGAAAUUUAAAUUUAUAUUAAGACAUUGGUUUAUUAUUAUAUGAAAAUUUUUUUAAGACUAGGAUUAGAUACCCUAUUAUUUUGAUCGUAAAUUUUUAUCCUUAAUAUUAAUAGUUAUGUUCUUUAAAUUUAAAGAAUUUGGCGGUAAUUUAAUCUUUCCAGAGGAACCUGUUAUGUAAUUGAUAUUCCCCGUUGAAUUUUACUUUAUUUUUUUUUGUAUACCUCUGUCAAUGAAUGUCUUAUAAGAGUUUAUUUUCUUAAAUUUUUAUGAAUAAAAUGUCAGGUCAAGGUGCAGAUAUAUUAAAGUAUAAAUGGGUUACAGUAAAUUUAUUUAUGGGAAAAAAUAUGGAAAUUUUUUUGAAAUUGGAUUUGGGUGUAAUUUUCUUUAGAAAAGGAAUUUGAUCAAAGCUCUAAGUUAUGUACAUAUCGCCCGUCACUCUCAUUACUAAGGUGAGAUAAGUCGUAACAAAGUAGGCCUACUGGAAAGUGGGCCUAGAAUUAUU